GGAGGAUGCAGCCAGUCUGUUUCGGUUGUUGAAAGUCGCCGGAUGUGUUGGGAGUUUUCUCCUAAACGUCAACCGGUGAGUGAUUGUUUUGUUGUGCUCGAAUGUCAUCCGUCUAAACCCGUUACGAUACCGACUUUACUUUAUUCGCGUGUGCUUCCGCUUAAUAAUUAACGGAAACAUCGUUACCUCCGUUCGUACUAGGAAACGAUAUUCAACCGGUCUUCCAGGUUUCGAGAGAAGUGUGUCAAAGCCGAUGUAACGUGUUUCUGUGCGUCCAUAAUCAACAUAGCUGUGUCUUCGGAGCUCGGAUACAGCCCCAAAAAAGAUGCCUGUGCGGUAGUGAUCGUGGCCUCGAAGCGAGUCCUUUUACGGCGGGGACGAGCAUCGAAAGCGGUGACCCUCCUUCGCCAUCCUCGACUUUGGCCCGCGGACACGAAAGGCGACCACCGCCUAGGGAGCAACGGGGAACGACCACGAAGAGGGAAAAACGAAUAGAACGAGAUCCGAAGGAGAAACGUCGAAAACUAGACGCUAGCCACCAGGUAUCGAGCGCGAUGAAAUAAACGAGAUGCCGGAGAGAACAUGGUACUUGGAAGAAUACUCAAACGAGAAACCUCUCUAGGGUGAUAAAAUAGAAAAAUACCGCGUGAAUGACGAAUGAAUUCAGAAGAUUUCAGGAGAAAGAGGUAAAGAAGAAAAUAUCCAGAACAGUGUGGUAAGGUGUUUCUACAUUCCCGCUGAGGAAUAAAGAAGCUAAAUGCCAGAUAAAAGAAGGAUAACAGAGAAGAAGAAAAAGGAAGGAUAAAGCGGCGGGUGUCUCGAGCGAAGGAAGCUGCUGUGAAGGAAAGGAAUGGGUGCCGGGAUGGGCAGGAGCGGCACGAGCGGCGGCUUCCUCGAGGCACUUCCUACGGGAACGCCGCUCCACGUGGCUAUGCUUGGCCUGGACAGUGCUGGCAAGACCACCGCGUUGUACAGAUUAAAGUUCGAUCAGUAUCUCAACACUGUGCCCACCAUAGGCUUCAACUGCGAGAGAAUCCGCGGUGGCAUCGGAAAAGCGAAAGGUGUAAAUUUCCUCGUAUGGGAUGUGGGCGGGCAAGAGAAAUUGCGACCAUUAUGGAAGUCGUACACCCGUUGCACCGAUGGUAUUAUCUUCGUGGUCGACUCCUGCGACGCGGAACGGCUCGAAGAGGCGAAGAUGGAGCUGACCAGGACGGCCAGGAGCCCGGACAACGCUGGAGUACCUAUUUUGAUCCUGGCGAACAAACAGGAUCUGCCAGCUUUCCCCGCGAAAAUCAAAGAGGACGCGUUCACGUGGCGUAGAGGUAUGAAAGAAAGAGGAGUUUGCAGGAGGAGGAGAGUGUGACAUAAAGAAGCUUUUUGUUUCUUCUUUUGAAAAUGUAAAAGAAGAACCAGCAGACACGAAGAAAACAAGGAUAAAUAUUAGGAGGCGUGAUCCGAUGCAGGGAAGUCGGUUUCGAACGCGAAGAUGAGUGUUGGACGAGACAAAAGAGGCUCUCUUUUCGCGAACAGUUCAUGGACAGUUGAAUGGUGAAUAAUAUAGCAGAGGAGGAGCAGAGGAACGUGAUAAAGGGCAAAGUACGCGGUUCGAAAGGAGAGAAGGUAGCCGAGGGUUGAAAACAGACAGACGAUAAACAGGGGAGAGAAAGAAGGGGUGGUUGGCGCUGGUUGAAGAGCACCCUAGCCACUGCGCUAUCGAGCAAAUCCUCGUUGCCAUGGGGAUAAUCACGAUAGGUCUGCCGAAGAUAGAGUGGAAUCGAGGGUCAGAAUCAGGGUUGAAACGCGUAAGUAAGUGAGAAUUCUUCAGGGUCUAUCGUCUCGACACGAAAUAACCAGAAAUGGAAGGGUAAAGGUGAGAGGGUGGCUGGAGUCAGUCGAGUAGCACGUGUCUGCCAUCGAUUUCACUUGUAGAGCAAAGGAAUGGAGGAUUGGAUAGUUGGAUAUCAUUGUUACAAACUGUUAAAAUAUGUUACUAUGAAACUUGAAAUAAUUAACGUCAUUUAUAAAUUAUCAAAGAGAUAAGCGAAUCAAAAUAAUCAUUAAUUCGCUAAUGAAAUCUGGUAAUUGCAGAGAAUCAGGUCGGCCGUGGUAAAUUAAUAACCGCGUUUAUUAAGCGUUAAUUCGGUUCAUAAAUUAAUAGCAAUGCCAAUUUGUUUGUCCCUGUUCAUGGAAAUUAUUCCCUCCGAGAUGAACGAUUCGCCAUAUAAUUCUUGACGUGCAUUUUCUCGUUUCUGUCCUACUUUUUUUUUUUUUUUUUUCACUGCAUCACUCCUGAAAUUACUUUCCCUCCUUUAAACUCUUUCCCUCUUUUUUCAGAUUGUUUUUCCCGGCUCGUACACGCGUCUUCUCUCUGUCUUCCCAUCCGGCAACGGGGAUCCUCUUGUUCUUGCUAGACUCCAGCUAGUGUCCUUUGGGAUAGGAGAAUGCAAAGAAGGAACCUAUGAGCAUUCUUCGCAGCAAGCUUUUUUCGCGAAAGUAAUCUCGAGUUAUGGAGGCUGGUGGUUUCUCUUUUUCUCUUGUCGCGUAGGAAUUUCGUGAUGAAGCUGCUCCCUCUCGAAUCGAGUUUGCCAGGAAUCGCGAGAACCUACGGUGCUCUCUUAAUUUCGUUUCUCUGGUCUCGCGGUAAUUCAGCCGAGCAGAAUAAACCAUUCGCGACAGAUGAAAGUGGUGUAAAUUUUCAAGUUUCAACUUUUUGUUUCAGAAAUACCGAUAUGAAAUUGAUCUUGGAAGUUUGCAAUUUUAAAUGCUGAGGAGCUUGAGAUGGAAAUGAAAGGAAGGAAGGAAAGAAAUUUCAGAGAAAUCCAGGGCGAGAUAAAGGAACCCGUUCCCGUGAAGGGGACUCGUGAAAUUUUCAUUUUUAACCCACCGAAUAGACGUCUGUGCUUCGAGGAACGCUCGCUCCAUUAAAACUUGAAACGCCAUAAUUCGCGUUAGCACGCGUCUGCGGUUUCGCUCGUAAACAAGAAACACAUGGAGCCGGCGUUAAAAAACUGCAACGGGUGCAUCAUUUCCACGCCGCGCGAGCAAUUUCAAUUUGUGAAAUAAAAAGAAGAAUCGCAAGAAACACGGAAGUUUCCUAUCGACCGUUCGAGCGUGCAGAUUUGAUUAAUUCAAUUACUUAAUUGGACGACGAAGAUUUUCGAUCCUGAAAGCUUGAUGAAUUAUUCAGAACGGCCCGUCUGUGAAAGUAAUAUUGAAAUCAUGGAAUAUGGUAGACUGAAUAAUUGACGAGUAGCGGAACGAUCUUGGAACGAUUCGAUCUUCUAUAGCUGCGAAUCGAUUACGUCUCUGCACUUGUGGUUAUGCAAGUCUCAUCGAUUUUAUUGAGAAAUUUAUGUCUUAAAUUAGAGAAUUUUAAGGUACCAUUCUAAGUACAGUGGUACCUUGGUAUACGUCUGCUUUGGAAUACGUCCUAUUUGGACGUGACAAAUUUUGCUCGACAUAAAUUUUUUGUGUGAAUUUGCAUCAUUUUUAAAUAAUUAUCUCAAGUAAGUAAGGUCGUAUACCUAGGUACCACUGUAAUUUCUACAGUAAUUUCUACUCUCCUUAUAUUACUAAUUCCAAAAAUUUUCCACUCCCCUAACUGGUAAUAUAACUAGUUAUUAGUGUAAUAGAAAAAGUUCUUAAUAAAUAAUACAUUUUCUUUUACCAGGAUAAAAUACAUCUGGAUAAAUAUGGAAAUAAAUGAAUAUAAAAUGAGAGACUCGCCCAUGUAUAAGGUACAACGUUAGCAGACUUCAACACAAUGUUCUAUUAUUAAAUUAUUACGAAAAGAUGGAUCGAUCAGCUGUCAGGAUUCUCGUUGUCCUCCUUGUCCUCCUUGUCCUCGUUCUCGGAGCUUUCCUCGUCGUCUUCAAGGAUGGUCUCGCGACGUCGAGGUUGGAAAGUGAGGUCGAAGUCGUCAGGAAAUUGAGAACGAUAGGCGACGAAGUCUUCCGCCUUGCAAUACUUGGUGAAGAAGGUAAGAUACUGAACUUCUUCUUCGGUAGGCUCCAGUCGACGUGAAGUUUCUUUAAUCCUUUGACUGGUCGGUAUCGAACGCCACAUUAAAGGUCGUCUUUUUAUCGGAGGAGGUUCCAUUGCACGCUUCAAAGAGGCUAACAAUCUGUGCAUAAGCUCGAACUGUGAAACAGAAAAACACGCAGCGCUCUCAGUUUCCUUCAGUGCCUUGAGCUCUUGCUUGAAGCCUUCCUUCUCAUAAGUCUGUACCACUUCCGGCGGCAGAGAGUCCAGCGUCAGAUUUAGCUCCUCGUGGGUCUUCUCGAUCCACUUCAUCAUCGCGAAAGUGUCCAAAUCAGCGUCAUUCGGGCCGACACAAGACUCCUCGUCGAUGGCGUUGGUCAGCUCCUCGACUUCUGACUUGAUCUUAGCUUCCGCAGUGUGGAUUGUCAAUAUCAUCUCCGUCAGUGGUUCUGCCAGAGAUUCCAGAUGAAUCAACGCGUUCAAAUUUUGCAUCUCUAUUGAUCUAAAUACCCGGAUCAGGUCCUGUGGAUCCUCGAAGUACAGCUCGGCUGGACCUGCGUAUCUAAUAUCCUCCUCGAACAAAUCUGAAAAUCAAUGAUUCCCUUUGAAAGGCUUAAAGUAAGUUAACAAUUGUAUAUUGACUUGAUUUUAUACGGAGAUACGCUCUAGAAAAUCUCGCAGCUGUAAGUAUUCUUCCCUCUCGCAGACAUUCGAGCCUUCUGUUCGAUUCUAACCACUCCUCAUUCACACCUAAAAUCCUUCAACUACUCUACAAACUUCUGCUCAUCUCUAUUCACACUCUAUAGAUCAGGAAUGGGCAGAGAGGAGUCUCACAAAGAUUGCUCUGUUGCCCUAAAUUUCCUCUCUGAGAAUAUCAUUCUUUUCUAACAAUAUAUAGGGUAAGAUAAAAAAUUAAUUGCCUGAACGAUAUAAUAAUAUAGUAAUACAAAAUUUGUCUUUCAAGAUUUCAAAGAAGAAGGGAGAUACAUUACUUAUCAAGACGUCGAUGGAUGGAACUUUCUCCAGCAUUCGAUAACGACCGAAUAUAACGUCAGUAUGAACUGUAUCAAUGGUCUCUGCGGAUUCUGUACGAUAGAUCCAAUCGUGCUCCGCGCGCCAAGAGUCUGGUGACACUUGGUACAAAAAUCUUUGGCACAUCUUCACCAUUCUCCAGUUCUCCUCCCAGUAAUACACGUCAAGUCUGACCUGACCGAAUUCCUUGGAGAGCUGAUUUCUUCUCAGAGUGAUCUCUUUUGUCUUUUUGCUCUCAUUUUCGGCCUCCUCGAGGAUCUUCAUGCUUUGCUCGUGAUCCUUCGACAGGAAGUCCUCGAAGGCGCUGACGUAUUGACGAUAACGUUUCUAAUAGGGAAAUUUGAUUAAUAUAGUUAGUGGAGAGGUUGUUAAAUGUUGGUACCGAGCCAAAGGAAAUAGGAUAAGACCUUGAUUUUGUUUAAUAUUCUCUGUUCCUCGACGAACUGCUGGUCGAUGAGGAUGCAAUCAUCCAUUUCCUGUCCCGCUAAUAGUCGAGCCUUGAAAAUGUUGCGGAUAUCGUUCACGUAUUCGUUCACUGAGAACUUUUCUUUCACAACUCUGCCAGCCAAUUCUUUAAAGAAUUCUGGAUCCACGUCAGUGAUGGCUAUUCCUUCGUGUAAAUCUUUGUGCUUCUUCGCCUCAAAAGCUUCAAUAUCCACGUCGACCUUAGUGAAAAUCAUACAGCUAUUUAGUGUGUAAAUUCUUGUUGGCUUUUGAACAACAAUAGAUUCAGACUGCUCACACGAAGUGUUCGCAAAAGUUCAUGUCCUUCUUUAUCUUGAUAAACUCCACUCCUUCGUGCCAAAUUCGCGGAACGUUUCUGCGCUUUCCAAUAUUGAAAAUAUGAGAACAUGAGAGAGCAAGGGGGAUAACCGAACGGCGAUCGCUCCUCGAAAACGUUUCUCGCUUUUCCCAGAUGUUCAUGUCCCUUUGUAAAGUAGUACUGUGUUCUACAUAGCAAAAUUAUCUAUAUUAUAACUUUAGUAAUUUAUCAUUUCUGCUUAGUACGUAAAAAUUUAAAUUUUAUAAUUGGUCAUAGUUUCUAAUCAUAGAUUUUUAAUUAUUUUUUUCAAAAUACACGUAUGAAUCGAAUCUACUUGAAGAAUUCUCUUUACUGGAAAGGCUUCUUCAUCUUCUUCCGGAUCUGAUGAGGCUGGCAUAAUCUCGUGGUAUCGGUCAUUCUCGCUUAAUUCAGCUCGUACUUUAUUCAAGCCAGUCUUUUCACUUUGUCGGUCGUUCACAUGCGACGUUCUAAAAAAAGCUCGUCUCCACGUCCAAUGUAUAAGGGAGACUUUUCUUUUAAAGUUACUGUCUGAGAAAAAGUAGUAGCCUGUUGAGAUGUGUUUCAACCAAGUAACUGUUGCAGUUAAUUAAUAAUUAGAUAUGUUGUUGCGAUAGAAUAGAAGAGAAUUGUAAAUGUAAAGUAUAUUGUUUGAAACACGUUUCUUUACAUUAACAGAUGUAAAAUUGUACUAUAUGUAAAAUACUUCUGAUAGGCAAAAUCGAGCAAAGUACAUGUUAGAAACAUGCUACUUACUUUCUGUAAUGGAAAUUCGAUCUUCUCUUCUAAUGCAUUCGUUGAAUUGCUUGAACCCUGUGAAUAAAAAGAGGAAAAUGAAUAGAGUUCGAUAAUCUGAUAGGCCGUCUUAGUAGCUGUCAGUAUUGACAGCACGUUGACGUUAUUUGGAUCAGUGGUUGUCAAGCGGAAUUGUUUGGCAUGCGCGGUAUAUUCCGAAGAGUUCAGUACCGAUUAUUUUCUGAAAAGAACCAAUUUUCAUUCCCUCUGAUUCUAUUUUCUUUUCAAAUCAGCACAAAACUGAAAAAUUAUUAAAAUAAUUGUUUGACAAACUUGUAUUUUAAAAAGACCGCGAUAAAUUGAAUUUUUUAAAAUUCGAUCCCAGCGCCAUCUAUACAAAAACGGUUGAAACUACUCGACCAACAGAAGCUACUUACCGACUUACAAUAGUUUCCGCUGUUCUCCGAUAGUUGGCGCUAGUGUUCCCUUGUUUCGGAAAAUCGAUCGAUAACUUGUCGAGUAGUUUCAGCCGUUUCUGUAUAGAUGGCGCUAGGAUCGAAUUUUAAAAAAUUUAAUUUACGACCGCCGUUUUGAAAGUCGAUAAAAAGCAUUCUUUUUCAAAUCAAAUCGUUUCAAUCGAUAUUUCUUUGUUCUCUAUUUUUUUUUUUAGAAAUCAAUCAAAAGCAGCACAAGAUUGAACAAUUUAUCAUUAUAAUUGUUUGACAAACUUAUAUUCACCUCGUGCACCUUGGUAAAUAAGUCAUUUCAAAAAAACAACUGACAAUGAGUUAUUAUUUAAUUCACCCAAUUUCAUUUCUGAGUUAUUUAUUUAAUGCCCGUAAUUUAUUUUCUCAGUUAUUUAUUUAAUUGACUUAAAUUCUUCUAUUAUUUUAGUUCUUCAAUGUAUCAAUCCCUGCAUCCCUUACAUUUCUGCACUCCUUACAUCCCUGCAUCCCUUACACACCGCCCAUCCCUUACAUCUCUUGUUUUCCUUACGUCCCAGCAUUCUUUACAUUCCUGCAUCUGUUACAUACUUGCAUCUCUCAUCCCUGAAUCUCUCUCUAAACAAUCUCUCAUUAUGAAAUUUGAGAAAAAGAGCUUCUAUAGCCAAUCAUAAAUAAAUACGUAAAGUACAAACCUUGUUAUUGGUA
Non-coding RNA from Osmia lignaria (orchard mason bee), 7680 nucleotides. NCBI's taxonomy places the organism in Eukaryota, Metazoa, Arthropoda, Insecta, Hymenoptera, Megachilidae. The record is from RefSeq and is a predicted model, not a curated record.